UAGAUGCUGCUUCUUGCUAAGUGAGGU
Molecule: non-coding RNA, 27 nt
Filed under: Rattus norvegicus (Norway rat)
Lineage: Eukaryota; Metazoa; Chordata; Mammalia; Rodentia; Muridae
Source: RNAcentral